This 465-nucleotide ribosomal RNA is filed under the name uncultured bacterium. RNAcentral's name for it is "partial 16S ribosomal RNA". It matches the Rfam family "Bacterial small subunit ribosomal RNA", at positions 338 to 795 of the family's 1533-position model. The record is from RNAcentral.
CCUACGGGAGGCAGCAGUGGGGAAUUUUGCGCAAUGCUCGUAAGAGUGACGCAGCGACGCCGCGUGAAUGACGAAGGCCUUCGGGUCGUAAAGUUCUUUCUACAGGGAAGAAAAUGCCUAUACGCAACUGUGUAUGUAUGGACCGUACCUGUAUCAGCAGCCUCGGCUAACUCCGUGCCAGCAGCCGCGGGAAAACGGAGGGGUCGUGCGUUGUUCGGAGUGACUGGGCGUAAAGGGCACGUAGGCGGUGUUGUAAGUCAUAAGUCAAAGACUAGAGCUCAACUUUGGUAAUGCUUGUGAUACUAUACUACUAGAGAAUCAGAGAGGAAUGCAGAAUGCCUGGUGUAGCGGUGAAAUGCUUAGAUAUCAGGAAGAAUACCGUUAGCGAAGGCAGCAAACUGGCUGGAUGCUGACGCUGAGGUGCGAAAGCGUGGGUAGCAAACAGGAUUAGAGACCCGUGUAGUC